Molecule: long non-coding RNA, 432 nt
Filed under: Olea europaea subsp. europaea
Lineage: Eukaryota; Viridiplantae; Streptophyta; Magnoliopsida; Lamiales; Oleaceae
Source: RNAcentral
GGCUUUUCGUGUGAGGGUGUUCGAGAGAGUUCCAUCUUCUCUCUGUAUCGAGGGUUUCUGAUUUCCCUCAUUUUGUCUAACAUCUCAUUCGAAAAUUGUGGUUUUGAUGUUUUAGCCAUAGAAUACUUGUAUUUUCUUGAGUGAAAAUAUGUAAGAACGAGAGAGUUCUCAUGUAUUGAGAUCGGAGAAAGUGGUCUGUUGAUUCUUGAGUGAUCUGAGGUAGAUCUAUUGAUUUCUUGAAGAGAUAAGUCUCUUCCUUUGUGUAUUCUUUUUGAGGCAUUUAAUGCAAUCGAGCAAUAUCCAUUCUUGAUUAGAUUUUCAAUAGGGGAUUAGGUGUUGAAAGAAUACUGAGCCUCUGGGAAUUCGGCCGAAAAUUCUAUUGUGUUCAUUUUACUUGUAUGCAAGUUUAUUUUCUAUUUUAUUGUUGAUCCA